This is a long non-coding RNA of Aegilops tauschii subsp. strangulata, 2527 nucleotides long. RefSeq lists it as uncharacterized. The record is from RefSeq and is a predicted model, not a curated record. NCBI's taxonomy places the organism in Eukaryota, Viridiplantae, Streptophyta, Magnoliopsida, Poales, Poaceae.
UCACGCUUUUUCGACCCGCUCUCCUCAGUUGGUGGGCGACUGCUUUUGUUUUGCUGGGGAGGGGAUUGGAUGGGGUUGACCGAGAUAGGCGAAAACGGCGGAGGGAAGGGGGGCUCCUCGCCGGUGAUUAGAGGCAGGACCGGCUGGGCAAAGAUGGCGCGCGGCGAGCCUCCCGCAAGCAGCGCUUGUAGGCGGGAUGCGUGCUUCACUGGGACGGUUGUAGGGGGAGAGAUGUAGGUCCGGAGAGGAGCUCGGCGGACCUCUCCCGUCGUGCUCGCCAUCAGCAAGCGCACGUCGGUGGCGGAGCUUAUAGUCGCCGGUGCAGGUCAGGUGAAAGAUCUACGUCGCAGGGGGUGGUUUAGUUCGUGGUCCAAGAUAGGGAGGAUUGUUUUGUUUAUCUGCUGGGCGGCGCUAGCAAUUUCAUGUGUUAGUGUGGUGUCACAGACUCAUGCUCCGGAGGGUGUGGUGUCACAGACUGAUGCGCUUUCAGUAGUUCAGCGGAAAAGAAAUGGAAAGUCACUUUUUGUCAAGUUUCAGACCUUCAGUUAAAUUGUUCGAUGUUCAUUAUUUCAUUUUCAGUGUUAGUAUUCAUUUUUUAGUACAAGUGCUCAGUCGGUUAUCAGACCUUCAGUUAAAUUGUUGAAUGUUCAUUAUUUCAUUUUCAGUGUUAUUAUUCAUUUUUUAGUAUAAGUGCUCAGUCGGUUAUCAGACCUUCAGUUUUUUAGCAUUUCUCCAUUGUUUAGUAUAAGUGUUCAGACCUUCAUUGUUUUAUUUUUAUUAUCAUUUCAGUUAAUUAGUUUGUUUUUCUUAUUUCUUCAUUUUAUCAUUCAGGGACCUUAGUUUCUUUCAUCAGUGAUGGUUAGGUAGGUUAGUUAUCAUAGGAAGUUCAGUUCCGUCAGUUAUCAUAUCAUUGUUUCUCUUACUUUUGUUUUUCUGAGUCUUCGCAUUCUUCAUUCAUAUCAAAUUAUUAUUUUUUCAGUCAUUUCUCAGUCUUGUGUUUCUGUUAUCAGUGUCUCAUUUCUCUUGUCAUUCAAAUUUUCUUUGUGUGCUAGUUGUUUUCAGUCUUGAGACGUUGUAUGGGUGGAAUUAGUCCUUCAUUUUUUGUUUUCCACUCUUACUAAUUUUUUUUAGUUAUCUUUGCCUUUCAUCCCUUAGUCUUCAGUUAUCAUUCCAGCCGUAUAUUUAAUUAUUCUUCAGUUCCAACCGUGUUCAUUAUCUUGAUACUGAUCAUUCUUUUGUUGUUAGAUAACUAAUCUUUAGUGCAACCCCUUCAGUCCCUUUUUAGUCAUUCUUUCUUUUGGUGAAGUAAAAAUGACAUGAUCAACUUUUUCUAUGACCUUAGUUUGUCCCCAGUCAUCUUCAUCAUAACUUUUCUAUUCUUUAAACAUUUGAUUUAGCAUCAGUUUUGUCUAUGACCUUAGUUUUGCCAUCUUCAUUAUUCUAUCUACACAACUUGCUCAUUUUUUAUUUCUUCCUGCUUUUUGGUUAGUUUCAGAAGUGAUAUUAGCUGCCAAGUUGCCAUCCUGUAGAUGCCCUUUUCUUUUGUUGUCCUUUAUCAGUAUCUGUGUUCUUAUGAUUAACACAAUAUCUUGUCUGAUAACCAAAAAUAGGUGGAACAUAAAUAGGAAUUUUAAUUUACAUCACUUGUAAUAUAUGAGAGCAAAGCAUGCCUUCUCUUAGGUAUUCACUAACAUUCUCAUUUCCAUUUGAUUCACUUCAUUAACAUUUUCAGCCUUGUGUUUAUUUUUAUCUUUUGACCAUGCAUCUAGCAUUCUGCAGUUUUGCAUGGGCAGACAUAGGUAGUAAUACAACAUCUAGCAUUGCAUUUUGCAUAAUUCUGAAAUUUUGUGUCUUCUAUUUUUCUUUUCCUUUUUACUUCUCUAUUUUUUUGGACGGAUGACAAACAACUAUAAAUUACCUUUUAAGGUAGCUUCCAGCUUGAUGACCACCCCGACGGCAGGCAUGACUGGACUACACCUUGUGGGAGUGAUUUAAGCACCGCAGCAUACAAGACAGUAGCAGAUGGUCGUUUCGCUUUCAACAAGGAUGGCCGGGAGGAAAUCCUGGAGGAGAACUACCUAGCGGUUGGGAGAGCGGCGGUAAUCACCAUCAGGAACAACGCACUGGACGAAUUGAACAUGAUGGUUGUCUUGAACCAGAUCGAAUUAUGAGAUUGUCAGGGAAUAAAGGUUGUUUUGAGUUACUGCAGUUUGUUAUGCUGUCAGUUAUCCAUGUCCCGCCGGCCAACUGACAAACUGUGAUUUGUUUUUUUUAUCAGUGGUAUGCACCGUCAAGGACUAUGUAAUAUAGUCUGAAAACUUCUUAUGCCUUUUUGUGUGGCACUUGAUUAUUAAGUGAUUAGUAACCAUAUUUCUCUCUUUUAUUUUAUUUUUAAGUUCUUAGUCACUUCUCUUCUGCUAUGGCCAUAGUUUGUAUUUCUUUUAGAGUUUUGGACAGAGCAUUUUCAAUGUUUGGGGAGUACCCUUUGAAUUCUCUGAAAUUCAGUAAUUUGAGUUGAGAUAAUUUA